GAUAAGAACGCAGCGAAAUGCGAUACUUGGUGUGAAUUGCAGAAUCCCGUGAACCAUCGAGUCUUUGAACGCAAGUUGCGCCUCAAGCCAUUAGGUUGAGGGCACGUCUGCCUGGGCGUCACAUAUCGUUGCCUGAUGCCAGUUUCCUCGUGAUGGGUGACUGUGCAGGGCGAAUGAUGGCUUCCCGUGAGCAUUGUUGCCUCAUGGUUGGUUGAAAAUUGAGUCCUUGGUAGGGAGCGCCGUGAUAGAUGGUGGUUGAGUGACGAACGAGACCCAAUCAUGUGAGACCCCUACCGAAUUUGGCCUUCAUGACCCACAUGCGUCUUUGGAACGCUCAUGACGAGACCUCAUGUCAGGCGGGGCUACCCGCUGAGUUUAAGCAUAUCAAUAAGCGGAGGA
RNAcentral lists this unclassified non-coding RNA (399 nucleotides) under soil metagenome. RNAcentral describes it as "partial contains 5.8S ribosomal RNA, internal transcribed spacer 2, and large subunit ribosomal RNA". The stretch from base 4 to 121 matches the Rfam family "5.8S ribosomal RNA", at positions 39 to 154 of the family's 154-position model. The record is from RNAcentral.